This 380-nucleotide ribosomal RNA is filed under the name uncultured eukaryote. RNAcentral's name for it is "partial 18S ribosomal RNA". It matches the Rfam family "Eukaryotic small subunit ribosomal RNA", at positions 592 to 976 of the family's 1831-position model. The record is from RNAcentral.
CAAUAGCGUAUAUUAAAGUUGUUGCGGUUAAAAAGCUCGUAGUUGGAUUUCUGCUGAGAACGACCGGUCCGCCUUUUGGGUGUGUAUCUGGCUCUUUCUUGGCAUCUUCUUGGUGAACGUUGCUGCACUUGACUGUGUGGAGCGCUACCCAGGACUUUUACUUUGAGGAAAUUAGAGUGUUUCAAGCAGGCAUACGCCUUGAAUACAUUAGCAUGGAAUAAUAGGAUAGGACCUCGGUUCUAUUUUGUUGGUUUUGAGAGCUGGGGCAGCGAUUGAUAGGGACGGAUGGGGGCGUCCGAACUUUACUGUCAGAGGUGAAAUUCUUAGAUCGGUCAAAGGCGAACUACUGCGAACGCAUUCGCCAAGAAUGUUUNCUUUAA